AUUUCAUAAAUUUCUUCAAACAUUUUUUUGAGAGGAUUAAUAUUCAACAGCAUAGUGAAUUGCUCAAAGGCAAAAAAAAUAUUUUAAGUUCAUUAGACCACAUUCAUUCUGUGUCAGAAACCUAUGCUGUGUCAACUUUUUAAUCACAAUCCAAAUUUAGAGCUGAAUCCAGCUUGAAUGUUGUGUCCAUACUUGCCCCAACCGUUCAGGGUUCAACCUCUGCGGUCGUAUAAAGCUGCGCCCUGCGGAGCAUCUGGUUAUCAUAUAUUUAA
Molecule: long non-coding RNA, 272 nt
Filed under: Mytilus galloprovincialis (Mediterranean mussel)
Lineage: Eukaryota; Metazoa; Mollusca; Bivalvia; Mytilida; Mytilidae
Source: RNAcentral